Molecule: ribosomal RNA, 926 nt
Filed under: uncultured bacterium
Lineage: Bacteria
Description: bacterial SSU rRNA
Rfam family: Bacterial small subunit ribosomal RNA
Source: RNAcentral
AGAGUUUGAUCCUGGCUCAGAAUGAAAGCUGGCGGCAGGCCCUAUACAUGCAAGUCGCGCGAUUAAAGCCCCUUCGGGGGUAUAUAAAGCGGCGAACGGGUGAGUAACAGGUGGAUAAUUUGCCUUCUGGUGGGGGACAACGGCUGGAAACGGCCGCUAAUACCGCAUUCGGUUGCGGGGUCUUAGGGCCCUGCAAAGAAAGGCGCCUUCAAGCGCUGCCGGAAGAUAAGUCCGCCUCCCAUUAGCUAGUUGGCGGGAUAAUAGCCCACCAAGGCGACGAUGGGUAGCCGAGCUGAGAGGUUGAUCGGCCACACUGGAACUGAGACACGGUCCAGACACCUACGGGUGGCAGCAGUAGGGAGUAUUGGGCAAUGGGCGCAAGCCUGACCCAGCCAUGCCGCGUGGGGGAUGAAGGCCUUCGGGUCGUAAACCCCUUUUCUGAGAGAAGAACAUCCCGGUUAGGAAAUGAUCCGGGCUUGACGGUAUCUCAGGAAUAAGCAACGGCCAACUCCGUGCCAGCAGCCGCGGUAAUACGGAGGUUGCAAGCGUUGUUCAGAAUUACUGGGCGUAAAGGGAGCGCAGGCGGUCAGGUAAGUCUGGAGUGAAAUCCCGAGGCUCAACCUCGGACGUGCUUUGGAUACUGCCUGGCUUGAGUGUGUGAGAGGAGAGCGGAAUUCCAGGAGUAGCGGUGAAAUGCGUAGAUAUCUGGAGGAACACCCGUGGCGAAAGCGGCUCUCUGGCACAACACUGACGCUGAGGCUCGAAAGCGUGGGGAGCGAACGGGAUUUAGAUACCCCGGUAGUCCACGCUGUAAACGUUGUGCACUAGGUGUGGGAGGUUUCGACCCCUUCCGUGCCGCAGCUAACGCAUUAAGUGCACCGCCUGGGGAGUACGGUCGCAAGACUGAUACUCAAUUGAAUUGACGG